Triticum aestivum (bread wheat) is the source of this 102-nucleotide non-coding RNA. NCBI's taxonomy places the organism in Eukaryota, Viridiplantae, Streptophyta, Magnoliopsida, Poales, Poaceae. The record is from Rfam.
GAUUGCGGUGACGAUUUGCAAAUUUCAAGCUCAACAGACCAAUCGCAGGUUUUCUCUCAGGAGUUGAUUUGUAUGCCGAUUAUCCCGCUGAACCAAGCCAUC